This 492-nucleotide ribosomal RNA is filed under the name uncultured bacterium. RNAcentral describes it as "partial 16S ribosomal RNA". It matches the Rfam family "Bacterial small subunit ribosomal RNA", at positions 29 to 507 of the family's 1533-position model. The record is from RNAcentral.
AGUGAACGCUGACGGUAGGCCUAACACAUGCAAGUCGAACGGCAGCACAGUAAGAGCUUGCUCUUACGGGUGGCGAGUGGCGGACGGGUGAGGAAUACAUCGGAAUCUACUUUUUCGUGGGGGAUAACGUAGGGAAACUUACGCUAAUACCGCAUACGACCUACGGGUGAAAGCAGGGGACCUUCGGACCUUGCGCGAUUGAAUGAGCCGAUGUCGGAUUAGCUAGUUGGCGGGGUAAAGGCCCACCAAGGCGACGAUCCGUAGCUGGUCUGAGAGGAUGAUCAGCCACACUGGAACUGAGACACGGUCCAGACUCCUACGGGAGGCAGCAGUGGGGAAUAUUGGACAAUGGGCGCAAGCCUGAUCCAGCCAUACCGCGUGGGUGAAGAAGGCCUUCGGGUUGUAAAGCCCUUUUGUUGGGAAAGAAAAGCAGCAGGUUAAUACCCCGCUGUUCUGACGGUACCCAAAGAAUAAGCACCGGCUAACUUCGUG